GGAGUUAGCCGGUGCUUCUUCUGUGAGUGAUGUCCUUCCUGCCGGUUAUUGACCCGCAGGCCUUCUUCCUCACUGAAAGUGCUUUACAACCCGAAGGCCUUCUUCACACACGCGGCAUGGCUGGAUCAGGGUUGCCCCCAUUGUCCAAUAUUCCCCACUGCUGCCUCCCGUAGGAGUCUGGGCCGUGUCUCAGUCCCAGUGUGGCUGAUCAUCCUCUCAGACCAGCUACGGAUCGUCGCCUUGGUGAGCCGUUACCUCACCAACCAGCUAAUCCGACAUAGGCUCAUCCGAUAGCGCGAGGCCCGAAGGUCCCCCGCUUUCCCCCGUAGGGCGUAUGCGGUAUUAGCCUGGGUUUCCCCAGGUUAUCCCCCACUACCGGGCAGAUUCCUAUGCAUUACUCACCCGUCCGCCGCUCGCCACCAGGGAGCAAGCUCCCCGUGCUGCCGCUCGACUUGCNUGUGUAGCUCGCCGCCACGCGUCAUCUGAGCCAGAACUACGACCCGUACGA
Molecule: ribosomal RNA, 508 nt
Filed under: uncultured bacterium
Lineage: Bacteria
Description: partial 16S ribosomal RNA
Source: RNAcentral